GAUUUGUUUCUUAAAAGACUAUUUAAUAAGCAAUUUUUCUUUUUUUUUAAUUGGCACUUUAGGUAAGUGAUUCCAGUCAAUCUAAAUUUCCUAGGGAAGUUGCUUGAGGACAAAUACAAAAUAAACUUUCCAGUUAAUACAAGUAGCCUAUGUUGGUUAAUUGUAUUAGAGCAGAGUCACAGCGUAAACUGCCCUUACUUGAGCAUACACACUAAUCUUCUCACUCCUCCCAGUCUUCAUCUUCAUCAUCUUUAUUCAUCCUUUUCCAUGCCUUAUUUUCAACCAAAACACAAGUGGAACAAGGGCUUUCUAUUAAGCACCUGUUGACAUUUUUUUGACCCCUGUGACUUUUUGACAUUUAGACCCACUUAAUUUUUGACCCCCUUGACCAUUUGAAUUCUUGACAAAUUGAUCUUUUGAGCUUAUAAUUUUUUGACCCCUUGACCUUUAGACCCACUUGACCUUUGGACCAUUUGACUUCUUAACACCUUGACCUUUGGACCUCUUAAAUUUUUACCCUUUGACCUUCUCAUUUUCUGACCUGUUGACCUUUUGACCUUUUAACUUUUCCACCUUCUGAUGCCCUGACCUUUUGACCCUUCUAUCCCUUUGGCCUUUAACUCCUUUGAACCCUGACUUUCUGAUCUUUUGACUCCUCAACUUUUUUAUCCUUUUGUCCUCUUGACCCUAUUCUCCUUUUACCUCUUUACCCCUUGCUCUUUGAUUUUUGACUCUAUGGGAACUGUUAGGUUACAGCCUGAACCAGUGAUUGAUCACUGAUGAAGAGGUUUGGCCAGCCCUGGGAGCACAGGUGCAAAAAAAAACCUGGGUUCACUCCUCCCCAAUCUCAUAUAAGGGCUGGCAGCAAAGAAGGAAGUAUCUCUACUUGGAGGAUUUUUCCUUGUGGGAGUUUUCUAGUGAGUUCUUAUUUUGGAAUGAGGCUGCUGCUGAAUUUUGAGCCAGCGACUUCAGUGACCUCCCAGUGAUGAUUACAAGAAACCUUUUCUGAAUACUCAGCCACAUUCAACAUCAUCUUUGUGCAGGAGGUAGUCCAGGUUCCCAUUCCAUGUAAUAUAUCUGCCAACAGAAAAGAUAAUUUGCUACCCAGGCAUGAGUGAAUGUUUGCUUCCUGAGACAUGUUAACUGAGGAGGAAGGCUAAGUGCAUUAUGGACAGUGGAUUACAGAUGGCAAUGAUGGGGGGCUCCCUCUACUGCAGCAAGCAGGAUGGUUUUGCUGAUCCCCACCAGUAUUCUGUACUUUGGCUAUGAGAGAAAAAUAAAAAGUCUUUUAAAGUAAAA
Molecule: long non-coding RNA, 1299 nt
Organism: Phasianus colchicus (ring-necked pheasant)
Lineage: Eukaryota; Metazoa; Chordata; Aves; Galliformes; Phasianidae
Source: RefSeq, a predicted model, not a curated record